Molecule: non-coding RNA, 3176 nt
Organism: Pelobates cultripes (western spadefoot toad)
Lineage: Eukaryota; Metazoa; Chordata; Amphibia; Anura; Pelobatidae
Source: the annotation of a GenBank genome assembly
UUUUUUUUUUAAAUCUAAAUAUUUUUAAACAGUUGCCAAGCCUAAAAUCUACGAUCAUUUCACUUAUUUUUUGAUAGUAAGAAAGUAUUGUUUUCUGCAAUAAUUGGCUCUUUAAGUUGCUUGUAUCAUGGUUCUGUUAUUGUCAUAGAAGUUGCGUUCUUGCUAAUCAGCCUGGGACUUUCUUUAAAAAAAACUUUAAUUUCAGUAUUAAAACUAAAUAAAUGAAAGCAAUAUAUUCAUGUGAAUAUCUAACGUUAGAUAUUCUAGUUAUUCUGUUCACUUUUCAUUCAAGCAAAUCUCUGUUUGUGUCAGUAAGUGAUAUUACUGCCUGUUCUUCUUUACAUAUUUUACAUGGCUUUUUGGGAUAAUUCUGUAAACAGCAUUGUUGUGAGGGGAGCCAUAGUUUUUUUGCUUUUUGAUAUGCAGAUACAGUACAGUAUGCUUGAGACUGAGUGAUACAAACUUGCACACGCAACCUUCUUUCUCUCUCUAAAAUAUCAUAUUCAAAUAGUAACUUUGCCCUCUCUUGGGGUUAUUAACUACUCAUCUAUUAUCUUGGUGCCAGACCAUAGCAAAAAAAAAAAAAAUGUAAGUAAAUCAAGAUUACUACUUUUGGAAUUUGGAUCUUCUAUGCUUUUAUUGAUUAAGUAGUCAUGAACUAUAUAUCCAAAUUAUGUGAAUACAAGUGUGGAUAAUUAAGGCUCCACUUUUCCUUUCAUCCUGUUGUUUAUGUAUACUUCCGGAGUGUAAAAUAAUUACACUUUGCUUGGUUAAUAGAAAGUAGAAGAAUUAAAACCGCUUUUAUAUUCCCUAUAUGCAAAUUAUUUGCUAUACUUGAGUGUUGUUCUUCUUAAUAAAUGAAUACCAAACACACCUACAUGCUGUUUAGACCACUGUUUAAAACUCCACCUUCCAUGAUACUUUGCCAUUCUAACGGCAUGCAAAGCGUCAUCGAAGUUGUUGUUCUACAACAUCUGGCGGUCUACCUUUUGGGCACCUCUGGUAUAGACUAACAUUUUAUGAGAGCAAUGCAAGAAACCCAUCUGUUAAUGCAUACAUAAAGAAUACAGUAGUCUGCUGUAGAAUUUCUCUUAUGUUAACCUUUUUUUGUGAGAUGCUCUGUAUUCUUUAAAUUCUUUAUUGAAGAGUUCGCAAAAGACACCCUAAUUUAGUUCAGACAAGGUAAAGCGAAGGCAAACAUUGAAAAUGAAGAGGAAAAAUAAAAACAUUGUUUCAAUUCUAUUCUACUCUGUUUGUUUUCCCUAUGCUGACUUCUAGAUGCAAAGAACAAAGCUUAUAACAAUGACUGACAGAAAUUUUACAAAUGCAAAGUGACUUUAAAAUUUAAUGCCAUAGUAACCGAACUGGAAAAAAAUCCACUUUGGUAUAAAAUUUGCAGAUUCACUUUGAAUUCACAUCUAUUCUCACAUUAGUAAAUAACCUUUUCUUAUCUUUCACAUCUCACAAGUGUAGAAUCUUAAAUAUUGGAAUAAGUAAAUCUAGUACAGUGAGCUGACCGUUGCCCUUAAAGGACCACUAUAGGCACCCAGACCACUUCAGCUUAAUGAAGUGAUCUGGGUGCCAGGUCCAGAUAGGAUUAACCCUUAUGUUUAUAAUGGGGUUAAUCCAGCCUCUAGUGGCUGUCUCAUAUAGUGCCAGGAAAACAAGUAUGUUUUGCUGGCACUAUAGUGGUUCUUUAAGGCUCAAAUGUCCUUGGAGGGUGUUGAAGAAUGUUUAAGAUAAACUAUUAAAAAAAAACCUAUAAAGUAUUGUUGUUGGGAUGUGUUACAGGUCUGACUAUGCUUACCUCCAAAAUAGUGGGAAGGCUCAAGUUCUCAAUCAGGUUAAAGCAGGAGGAACUAAAAUGCACUACUCCAGAUGUCAUCUAACUACAUCUUUGAUGCUUUUCCAGCUGUUGUAGACUAACAUUUCUAAUGUUUCUUAACCAGACUGUCAAAGUGUUGUGCGAGUUGCCCUCUCAUCGAGAGGGCUACCUGUUGUCUACCACAGGCCAAUAAUGAUAACAAAGUAAUUCUCAAGAAGCGCUAAUAAAACGCAAAUGUCAUUCUGAUCAUCUUGCUGAUAAACUGUAUGUGAUCAAAAGGAUUCCAUGGAAGGGUAUAUGUGCAGUACUUAAACCUGUAUUUUCUAAUGACCUAGGGUAAAUCCACAUCUGCAGUAUAGACAAACAUUUGUCUUCAGUUUAAUUGAGUAUUAAGAAUUAUGGUUAAUUGUUGUUAACGCUCCAAAAAUCCUGUGUGUGUUGAGAUUGGCACCUAUCCUAUAAAUCAGAUAAUGGAACUUAAACAAAAAUGUUGGCCUCCAUCACAUUAAAUGCCACUACAUAUCUAUAUUAUACUACCUGCUGCUGUAAUGCACAUACAUUCAAUCAAGUCUAGCAAUCUAAUCUGUAUUUUUCCAAGGACUAUUUUGAAUAAAUUAUUAUUCAUCCUCCUAUAGCUGUUUGAGAAUCCCUGAUGCAGUGGUGCUUUAAAUGUUUCCCAUAGUUCAAAUUCAUAUGAUUUAUAUUUUGUUCUGCUCAAAAUAUUUUGUACAAAUCAUGUUGGGUCAUUAGUUAUAUUUUUAUUUGCUAAUUUCUGUUUUGUUUCCAGCAUUUACCCUUAUGCUGUCCUUAUGUGCUAUGUAACAUUGUGAGAAUGUUGAGGUGGUUUGCAACGUAUAAUAUGCUGAUGUUUAUGUAAUUCUUUGACUCUAAACUUAUGUACAUUUUUUUUUUUUAUUUAAUGAAGCCACACAUCUUACUAUGCAGAAAUUACUAUGUGUUCUUAGAUUAAGUUAAAAUAAAAAAGGAAGAGAAAUUAUAUCAAAGCUUACUGUAAGCAGCUAUGUUGCAUUUCAAGGUGCUUAGAUUAAUUUUGUUUUCAGUUCUGUUCUUCCUACCCCACAAUUUUAAAGGUUUCCUAGCAUCUGUAAAUCUGUGACCGAAUUAUAAACAAUAAUAUAACUUUUGCAAUGUUAAAAUACUGUAGAGGAAUAGCAAUUUGUUAAUGGCAUCUAUAUUUUUAAAAUAUAUCCAAAGUUUUGUCACAUUCAUCUUUUUUAUAUUGGUAAAUAAACCUGAUACAAGAUAUCUUCCUCCUGAUGUGGAAAAUCAGUUCACGUAUAGCAAAAUAUCAGAGCUCUCCUGACUUUGGGAAUUUGGCCUGAACUUGCAG